Molecule: ribosomal RNA, 468 nt
Filed under: uncultured bacterium
Lineage: Bacteria
Description: partial 16S ribosomal RNA
Rfam family: Bacterial small subunit ribosomal RNA
Source: RNAcentral
GACGAACGCUGGCGGCGUGCUUAACACAUGCAAGUCGAACGGAAAGGCCCUGCUUUUGUGGGGCGCUCGAGUGGCGAACGGGUGAGUAACACGUGAGUAACCUGCCCUUGACUUUGGGAUAACUUCAGGAAACUGGGGCUAAUACCGGAUAGGAGCUCCUGCUGCAUGGUGGGGGUUGGAAAGUUUCGGCGGUUGGGGAUGGACUCGCGGCUUAUCAGCUUGUUGGUGGGGUAGUGGCUUACCAAGGCUUUGACGGGUAGCCGGCCUGAGAGGGUGACCGGCCACAUUGGGACUGAGAUACGGCCCAGACUCCUACGGGAGGCAGCAGUGGGGAAUAUUGCACAAUGGGCGGAAGCCUGAUGCGGCAACGCCGCGUGCGGGAUGACGGCCUUCGGGUUGUAAACCGCUUUCGCCUGUGACGAAGCGUGAGUGACGGUAAUGGGUAAAGAAGCACCGGCUAACUACGUG